CAUAGGAAAGCAUUUUCAAUGCUUUCCUAUGGAGAGCUCUAAUGCGCAUGCACGGCAUUGCCGCACAUGCGCGUUAGGUCUCGCGGACGGGAUCAGUCUCGCCCACCGGCCGACGUAAUGAAGAGGAGGAGCGGCGGCGACCCAAAACCACAACCGAGGGACAACCGGGGAUUGGGAGGUGGGAGAGAGAGAGGGGACCUGCAGUGCCAGGAAAACGGAUUGUUUUCCUGGCACUGGAGAGUCCCUUUAAUUCAUGCAAGUAAUCCUACUGAAUUUAGCAAUUCAUCAUAUGUCUUCCUAAUAAG
Pelobates cultripes (western spadefoot toad) is the source of this 305-nucleotide non-coding RNA. NCBI's taxonomy places the organism in Eukaryota, Metazoa, Chordata, Amphibia, Anura, Pelobatidae. The record is from the annotation of a GenBank genome assembly.